This 1179-nucleotide long non-coding RNA is filed under the name Salmo salar (Atlantic salmon). RNAcentral describes it as "lncRNA (ENSSSAG00000119849.1)". The record is from RNAcentral. Lineage: Eukaryota; Metazoa; Chordata; Actinopteri; Salmoniformes; Salmonidae.
AGAAAAGAGAGAAAAGAGGGAGGGAGGAGGGCUAUGGGUGGAGCUGCAGAGGAACAGUCCAGGGUUUGUUUGCUGAUAUUAUUUUAAUGUCAGAACCCUGUUCCAAUGUAAGCAGCAUGGGAGUACUGGCCAUCACUUCAAUCAUAUCCAGGUCAAUAGCCGUACUGUUUUUGCCAUUGCCGUUAGACUUCUCAUUAAACGUGAAUCAAUAAAGGAAUUUGCAUCCUGGCAUCCCCCAGGCUGUCUGUGUUUAUGCUACUGUACAGUAAACGCUAAGUUCUAUCCUAUUACCUCCAACAGACACGCCAUUCAUACAGACAGUACUGCAGGUCUGUGGCCCCAGCUCUCCGACCAAUACCUGCGGCAUCAUGGAUAACCCUGGUGGAUUGUCUAGCCUCCUCUCCACUGAGACAUUGGGGAAGGAGUUUAUAGAACUGUUGGAAUUCGGACCCUCCAAAAACUAUUCUGUCUCAAAAUGUUGUUUUCUCUAGCCCUCCUCUUCCUGCUAACCCCGUUUCCCUCCCUUCAAACUCCAGUAACCUAUGAGAAAAGAAAUGCCACAGGAACAGGAAGUGAACCCAAACCCUACGUCCUACUCACCCUCUCCCUCACAAAACCAAAAACCGCAGCCACGCUCGUCAAAGUCACCAAAGAGACCCCUAAGCCCACUCCGAAAGUCCUAAGCCCAACUGCAGCCAAUCAGACACAUCCAGCCCCCACAAACCCCCUCAAACCUCCAACAGCCACGUUCAUCAAACUCACCAAAGAGACCCCUAAGCCCACUCCAAAAGCCCUAAGCCCAACUGCAGCCAAUCAGACACAUCCAGCCCCCUCGACCCCCCUCAAGCCUCCAACAGCCACGUUCAUCAAACUCACCAAAGAGACCCCUAAGCCCACUCCAAAAGCCCUAAGCCCAACUGCAGCCAAUCAGACACAUCCAGCCCCCUCGACACCCCUCAAGCCUCCAAUAGCCACAUUCAUCAAACUCACCAAAGAGACCCCUAAGCCCACUCCAAAAGCCCUAAGCCCAACUGCAGCCAAUCAGACACAUCCUGCCCCCUCGACCCCCCUCAAGCCUCCAACAGCCAUGCUCGUCAAACUCACCAAAGAGACCCCUAAGCCCACUCCGAAAGCCCUAAGCCCAACUGCAGCCAAUCAGACACAUCCUGCCCCCUCAAC